GUAUAUAGUUUUUUAUAGGCACAAAGGCCCAUGAAUACAUUCUACAACAUGCUAUGGGGUAUAUGAAAACACAUAGACUUGUGAGAAAGUCACGACCCAGAAUUGAAGAUAGCCAAUUGGCAUUCCUCAUAUCCGAUAAAGUAUCGAGAUGGUCUUCGCUCAUCUCACACAAGACUACAAAUUGUGCACAGGUGGAUGGAUAAAGGUGAUGAGCGUGCACAUACUCCGAAGAGCCAGCUACAACCCACCAAGUUUAUUCAAUAAUGAUCCUUCCGCAGGUUCACCUACGGAAA
Molecule: unclassified non-coding RNA, 293 nt
Filed under: uncultured fungus
Lineage: Eukaryota; Fungi
Description: sequence contains ITS1
Source: RNAcentral